UAAAAUGUAGUAUAAGAAUUACAUAUCAUUUACACUGAUAAAAUUUCUAUUAAAGAACAUUUUAA
Molecule: transfer RNA, 65 nt
Filed under: Nacella concinna
Lineage: Eukaryota; Metazoa; Mollusca; Gastropoda; Nacellidae
Description: tRNA-Val
Source: RNAcentral